CUCUCUAUUUUCUCAGGAACUCUCCCGAACCCACACUCUCUCCAUAUCAUGAUUUCAAAAUCUUUCCAAUUCCUCUCUAACACUAAUGUAAUAUAUUCAUGGAGAAAAUAAGCUUCUUCCAAUGAGUUAAUUAGAGAGUCCAUUGAAAGGAAUUAAAGGCAAAAGCUUCAACAGUUGGGUUAGUGAAAGGAAAGAGGGUUUGAAACCCACAAGAUUUAAAGAGCUCCAUCGCCAUCUUCAUCUUCAAAUAACUAAGAAAUAUAAAGGUACCGUUCGCCACCACGAAGAGAUAAGGUGGUAUAGCCGUUCGCCACAACGAAGAGAGAAUGUGGUAUAGCCGUUCGCCACCACGAAGAGAUAACGUGGUAUAGCCGUUCGCCACCACGAAGAGAUAAGGUGGUAUAGCCGUUCGCCACCACGAAGAGAUAAGGUGGUAUAGCUGUUCGCCACAACGAAGACAUAAUGUGGUAUAUCCGUUCGCCACCACGAAGAGAUAAGGUGGUAUAGCCGUUCGCCACAACGAAGAGAUAAUGUGGUAUAUCCGUUCGCCACUACGAAGAGAUAAGGUGGUAUCCGUUCGCCACAACGAAGAGAUAAUGUAGUUAGUACCGUUCACCACAAUGAAGAGACAAUGUGGUUUAUGUCAACAUAGUGGGGAAAGAUAAGUGAUAUUAGAUAUGACGAACUUAUUAUUAGUUUUAAGUGUAGGUGUGCGUGUAGAACUUCGUAUAUGCUUAACAAGUGGUUCCUGUUAAAGAUUUUAUCAAAUAUUGUUUCCCUUGAUGUUGUAAAAUAGUAUUUUUGGUAUAAGUUUUCAAAGUACAAUCGUUUUAGUGUGCAUAAUGAAAUGAAAUAGCUUUAUAUAUUUUGCUGAUAGUUAACCAACACUUAGAGAACUACGUGGCUCUGAUUCCCUAAUUGUUUAGGGAUACGUAGGACCAGGGACCCUCCCUGUCGAGCUAUAAUUUCAGUAACUGUAUAUUUUAAA
Molecule: long non-coding RNA, 988 nt
Organism: Trifolium pratense (red clover)
Lineage: Eukaryota; Viridiplantae; Streptophyta; Magnoliopsida; Fabales; Fabaceae
Exons: 2
Source: RefSeq, a predicted model, not a curated record